GGGCGCGUAGCUCAGCGGGAGAGCACCGUCUUCACACGGCGGGGGUCGCUGGUUCAAACCCAGCCGCGCCCACCA
RNAcentral lists this transfer RNA (75 nucleotides) under Alphaproteobacteria bacterium. RNAcentral describes it as "tRNA-Val". It matches the Rfam family "tRNA". From Rfam's summary of the family: Transfer RNA (tRNA) molecules are approximately 80 nucleotides in length. Their secondary structure includes four short double-helical elements and three loops (D, anti-codon, and T loops). RNAcentral also lists the same sequence under 3 other names. The record is from RNAcentral. Lineage: Bacteria; Pseudomonadati; Pseudomonadota; Alphaproteobacteria.